Molecule: long non-coding RNA, 254 nt
Organism: Carya illinoinensis
Lineage: Eukaryota; Viridiplantae; Streptophyta; Magnoliopsida; Fagales; Juglandaceae
Exons: 3
Source: RefSeq, a predicted model, not a curated record
AAGAAACUAGCCGCAAGCUUAAAAUUUAUGCUGUGGAGAAAAAUCCAAAUGCAAUUGUUACACUACAUAGCUUAGUCAAACUAGAGGGCUGGGAAGACACUGUUACCAUAAUUUCUAGCGAUAUGCGUCACUGGGAUACUUCUGAGAAAGCUGACAUUUUGGUUAGUGAACUCCUAGGUUCUUUUGGUGACAAUGAGCUUUCUCCUGAGUGCUUGGAUGGAGCCCAGAGGUUUUUAAAGGACGACGGGAUUUCA